RNAcentral lists this ribosomal RNA (301 nucleotides) under uncultured bacterium. RNAcentral's name for it is "partial 16S ribosomal RNA". It matches the Rfam family "Bacterial small subunit ribosomal RNA", at positions 509 to 809 of the family's 1533-position model. The record is from RNAcentral.
CAGCAGCCGCGGUAAUACGUAGGGUGCAAGCGUUAAUCGGAAUUACUGGGCGUAAAGCGUGCGCAGGCGGUUUGUUAAGACAGAUGUGAAAUCCCCGGGCUCAACCUGGGAACUGCAUUUGUGACUGGCAAGCUAGAGUGUGGCAGAGGGGGGUGGAAUUCCGCGUGUAGCAGUGAAAUGCGUAGAUAUGCGGAGGAACACCGAUGGCGAAGGCAGCCCCCUGGGCCAACACUGACGCUCAUGCACGAAAGCGUGGGGAGCAAACAGGAUUAGAUACCCCUGUAGUCCCUGUCUCUUAUAA